GCCUGGGUGGCUCACUGGGCUAAGCAUCUGACUUCGGCUCAGGUCCUGAUCUCACAGUUUGUGGGUUCGAGCCCCGCGUCAGGCU
This 85-nucleotide transfer RNA is filed under the name Felis catus (domestic cat). It matches the Rfam family "tRNA". From Rfam's summary of the family: Transfer RNA (tRNA) molecules are approximately 80 nucleotides in length. The record is from Rfam by way of RNAcentral. Lineage: Eukaryota; Metazoa; Chordata; Mammalia; Carnivora; Felidae.